AGAAUUAUAAAUUUAAAAAAAAGACUAACCGUCACUUAUGUCCAUAGAAGUACAACCUUCUUAAUUCU
This 68-nucleotide transfer RNA is filed under the name Oopsacas minuta. RNAcentral describes it as "tRNA-Asp". The record is from RNAcentral. Lineage: Eukaryota; Metazoa; Porifera; Hexactinellida; Lyssacinosida; Leucopsacidae.